Molecule: long non-coding RNA, 614 nt
Filed under: Nicotiana benthamiana
Lineage: Eukaryota; Viridiplantae; Streptophyta; Magnoliopsida; Solanales; Solanaceae
Description: long non-coding RNA (NBEN_LNC013314)
Source: RNAcentral
UAGACAUUGUAAAGGGAAGGAGGGGGCUGCAUCAUCAAAAUAUUACCCCUGACUCCCAUAUACACCUCAUUCAGACCCAUUAAAAACUGGAACACCUUAUUAUCAUCACAUUCCUGAAUUAUACCAUCUUUUGCAGCACAUGCACACCUUAGACCAUGAUUAACACACAUAGAAUCAAGUUCAUCCCACACACUUUUCAGUUUGUUGAAAUAAGAAGCUACAUCGGAGGAACCUUGAGAGGUGUGGGACAUCUCUCUUUUCAGUUCAUAUAUUUUGGUCCUAUUUGCAGUCCCAUAUCUGGUCUGGAGUUGAGACCAGAUGCUCUGUGCAGUGUCAGCAUACUGCUGUGUGGGACAUUUCUCUUUUCAGUUCAUAUAUUUUGGUCCUAUUUGCAGUCCCAUUUCUGGUCUGGAGUUGAGACCAGAUGCUCUGUGCAGUGUCAGCAUACUGCACAGAUUCAGCAAUUGCAGGGGAAAGGGAAGCAAUCAACCAAGAGAUCACCAUACUGUUGCACCUAUCCCACAACCUUUGUUGAGCCACAUUGGUGGCAGGUCGGGUGUAUGUGCCAUCAACAAAGCUGAUUUUAUUUUUGGCCGUUAAGGCAAUAAGCAUUU